AGUUUUCCCAAAUUAUCGACUUAACGAAAAGUCAACUUUUUGGGUCUUUUACGGUAAAACGGUUACAAGAAACAAUAAUUGAAAAUUUCCUGGAAACUUUAUAAUUCAAAGAACCUAGCUUGUCGCUCCGGAAAAUAAUCCGGGCAUACCGGUGAGCUCGUAUAAACAUGUACCACGACUUCGGAGUUUUAAAUCUACUAUUUACCGUUUUCAGAAAAACUCAAAAACAAACUCAAGUAAUCGCUAUUUAAAUCUCUGAACGCGAAUAAAGAAAAAUCUGCGGUAACUCAUAACCCCGAAUAGUAACCUUUUAGGUACGGGGUAUUACACUUACAACACUGUGAAGGCUGGAGGUGGGUUAGGCUAAAAAAUGAUGGAGCUAAGUCGAGCUUGAAUCUGUCACGAAACUGUUAUAUUAAAGAGACAAAUUUCGAUUCAUAAGAUCAGAUUUUGAAGCAUAUGCGCAAAUGUUUUUUUUCUUCUUUUUUUCUAGUGCAGCUACUAACCUUGCAUGAAACUUAUGUGAGUGUGCAUUGUUCUGCUCACUAAUUGUUGCUUCUUUAGCUUCUCAACGUUAUGGUAUACCUUUUGUUCCCUUUAGUCAAUGAAGUCCUCAACAUGGCUUGAGCAUAUUCUGCAUUAUUCAUGCUUGUACAAGUUGCUUAUUUUUGACAUUUGAACAAACAUCAUCCUCCAUGCUCGAACUCUCCAUUAAUCGUGUUUGUUUAACCGUAAGACCUGAAACAGGAAACAAAAAAUAUAAAAUUGAAACUAAUGUGCUCAAGAAUAUUGAAGUGAAUGGAAAGCUAGAGGAUGGAAAAUAUACCUUCGGAGAAAUCAAUUCUUUCAUCCCUUUAUGCUCAUAAGGCUCUUUCAAACUCACGCUAGCUAAGCUAACAGCUCCUCACAUUUAAGGCACUUUGAGUGUUGGAGGUGGGUUAGGCACUUAGGCUUGGAAACACCGAAGCUAAGACGACCUUGAAUCUACAUAAAUGUAGCAAGUGCAUUUCACGAGGCCCGAUCUAGAAACGGAUCCGCAAAUUGGGUGUCCUAAUCUGAGGAAAUUCUAGUAUGCCGAACGGCAUGCUAUGCCAAUUCUACUAAAAACCAAAAUAGCUGAUGUCACCCAAUGCUUUUCCAAAAAAACACAACCGAAAACCCUUCCAACCAGUUUUACCUUUAGUAAGUAUAUUCUUGUCUAUACUAUUAUCAUGCAUUUAUUUUCAGUAAAUUAAAAAUUGACGAAGCAUGGUGGAUCUAUAAGUUUGAAUUUGUUUAUUUAUCUUAAUACAAAUAUAAAUCUAUCUUCUUUACUUGAAGGUAAAAAGUUAAUUUUUUCAUCAUUGGAGAAUAUAGUGCUAUAAGAUUAGAAUAUUUAGCAGAAGCUAAACAAUCAUAUAAAGAAUUGCAAGAAAAAAGAGAAAAAUUUAAAAAACUAAAAGAAAGAAAAGAUAAGCUUCUUAGAAGUACUAAAAAUUAUUGAGAUAUUAUUUUUCUGUUACAAGAAGGAUAUACGAAUCAAGAGAAAAAAUUGAAGUGUUCUUCAAGAAAUGUUUGAACAAGACCAAAAACCUCUUGAUAUUUUGAGCAUUGGUUAGAUCCGUCCUAGCUGGUAUCAGAGCCUGCUUGGCUCAAAAGCAGGUGAGAGAAAAAAGCUUAUGCCACAGAGUUGGCUUCUCUUGACAAACAAGAGAGAAUCUAAACUUAAAAAUUAUCAGUGCUAUUGUAUUGUAAAAGGAACUGAUAAGUGGGAAGUGUGAAAAUAUAAGGCAUAUUCAAGAAAAUCAAUACUCCAUUGAAUACGUUUGUAGAGUAUUAAAUACUAUCUAUGACGAACAUAUUCAUCUCCAAAAAGAGAUCGGAGUAGAAGAGCUUGAUCCAUAAAGACCAAGCUUAAUCGAGUUCCUAGAUCAUUUAUCUAGGGAUAAGACCUAUGAAAAGAUUACAGAACAACUCGAGAGAUUUAAUCUAAGGAUUAAUCAACUUGAGGAAAUAAAUUCAAAAAUUGCUAGGCUUCAAAUCAAGCUAGAUUAUCUCAAAGAGAAACAAUAUCUAAUAGAUAUUGAAAGAAAAUCAGUUCGUACUGAGAAUUUUGCAAACAACAUUCAUCAGCAAGUUGCAAAACUAAGAAAUACUCAAGAAAACCUGAAAAAGCUUUUAUAAACUCUUAUCUCCAGAAUAUGAUGAAUGAAAGAGUAGAUCUAAAAGUAAAACAGGAAAAUAUUAAAGCUAUUGGCUUUCAUCGUCCUACAGAAAAAC
RNAcentral lists this long non-coding RNA (2259 nucleotides) under Fragaria vesca (wild strawberry). Its description in RNAcentral is "long non-coding RNA (FVES_LNC005527)". Lineage: Eukaryota; Viridiplantae; Streptophyta; Magnoliopsida; Rosales; Rosaceae. The record is from RNAcentral.